This 130-nucleotide non-coding RNA is filed under the name Parabacteroides chinchillae. RNAcentral's name for it is "Bacteroidete tryptophan peptide leader RNA". It matches the Rfam family "Bacteroidete tryptophan peptide leader RNA", at positions 15 to 131 of the family's 131-position model. The record is from RNAcentral. Lineage: Bacteria; Pseudomonadati; Bacteroidota; Bacteroidia; Bacteroidales; Tannerellaceae.
GAGAACAAAAUGAAAACAUUCAUAGUAAAUACAUAUUGGUGGUGGCGCUCCGUACAACUCAAAAGUUCGUAAGGGACGAAGCCUAUAUGUAUAUACCUGAAUAGUAGAAAAUACAAUAAAGAGGUCUGUC